This is an RNA transcript of Syzygium oleosum, 997 nucleotides long. RefSeq lists it as uncharacterized. Lineage: Eukaryota; Viridiplantae; Streptophyta; Magnoliopsida; Myrtales; Myrtaceae. The transcript has 3 exons. The record is from RefSeq and is a predicted model, not a curated record.
AUAUCCCCCCCUCUUCCGCCAAAUACCUCUCCGUCGCUCCCUCCUCCCCUCCGCCAGCCAUGAUGGCCUCCGUCACCGCCACCGCCGCCGUCGCCUCCUCCUCCGUCGCCAUACGCUCGUUCCGCGCCCACAAGCCCUCCCUCGCCCCAGAUCUGGACGAGGUCGGCCGCCGCUCGACCUCGUGCAGAUCUGGGCGAGGUCGAGCGGCCCCGCCCAUGGCUGCUCGACCUCGCCGUCGCCCAGAUCUGGGCGACGGCGACGGCGAUGGCGAGCGGCGGCCAUGGGCGAGGCCGGGAUCCGGUGCUUCGUCGCCGAGGGCCUCGCGAUCUCCCAACCGAGGGCCGCCGGCGGGGGACUGGUUGAUUGCGUGGUGGUCGGGGGCGGGAUCAGCGGGCUCUGCAUUGCCCAGGCGCUCACCACGAAGCACCGCGACAAGGCCCCUGACGUGGUCGUCACCGAGGCCAGGGACCGCGUCGGUGACGACCACGUCGUCAGAUUUCCGUCCCUUCAUCCCGUUAUUUUCCACUGAAUGCAUCUUCAGAUGUACUUCUUCUCCAGUUGGAUCUAUAUACCGCAUCCAAUGGAGUUCUAAUUAGAAAUGCUGCCAGAACUAAUCCCAAAGAUCCUUCUAUCGAGUUGGGACCUGAAUUUGAUAAGGUGAAGGUUACUUUAGUUGUAACCUCGGAAGUACAGCAUAUACAGUGAAGAGGCUGUUGAUGCAAUUUCUGCAUAAGUUAUGCAAAUGAGAGGUUGCAACAACAUUUCAACUGGCAUUUGUUAAAACUAGAGCAGGAAGUGAGCAUCACACAUGGACCGUAUCUUUAGUAGUUUUGUUUAGCAUUUAUAUGAUGGGGAUUGUCGCUAAAAGCCGGAUAUUCUUUUUUGACUCAUUUCUGUCGUCAUUAUUUAUUGUGCAAGAUUAGUUAUUGUGCAAGAUUAUUUAUUCUCUCAUUAUGUGUACUAUAAAGAAAAAUAUUUAUGUCAUUCUUGUGGAAAA